This 66-nucleotide microRNA precursor is filed under the name Cavia aperea (Brazilian guinea pig). RNAcentral describes it as "miRNA (ENSCAPG00000002215.1)". The record is from RNAcentral. Lineage: Eukaryota; Metazoa; Chordata; Mammalia; Rodentia; Caviidae.
UAUGUGUGUAUACGUGUGUGCACGUGUGCAUGCAUAUACACACACACACAUACAUAUAAAUUUUUU